GGUGGUUCUUGGGUGAUGCACCCCAGAAUCGGGCUCCUUCCUCUCUGGUUCUGGGUGCAUCACCUGAGAACCGCA
This is a non-coding RNA of Myotis brandtii (Brandt's bat), 75 nucleotides long. The record is from Rfam. Lineage: Eukaryota; Metazoa; Chordata; Mammalia; Chiroptera; Vespertilionidae.